Molecule: ribosomal RNA, 301 nt
Filed under: uncultured bacterium
Lineage: Bacteria
Description: partial 16S ribosomal RNA
Rfam family: Bacterial small subunit ribosomal RNA
Source: RNAcentral
CAGUCGCCGCGGUAAUACCGAGGGUGCGAGCGUUAAUCGGAUUUACUGGGCGUAAAGCGUGCGUAGGCGGCUUCUUAAGUCGGAUGUGAAAUCCCUGAGCUUAACUUAGGAAUUGCAUUCGAUACUGGGAAGCUAGAGUAUGGGAGAGGAUGGUAGAAUUCCAGGUGUAGCGGUGAAAUGCGUAGAGAUCUGGAGGAAUACCGAUGGCGAAGGCAGCCAUCUGGCCUAAUACUGACGCUGAGGUACGAAAGCAUGGGGAGCAAACAGGAUUAGAUACCCCUGUAGUCCCUGUCUCUUAUAA